Molecule: transfer RNA, 72 nt
Filed under: Candidatus Nealsoniibacteriota bacterium
Lineage: Bacteria; Candidatus Nealsoniibacteriota
Description: Candidatus Nealsonbacteria bacterium tRNA-Arg
Rfam family: tRNA
About the family: Transfer RNA (tRNA) molecules are approximately 80 nucleotides in length.
Source: RNAcentral
GUCCCCAUAGUUUAAUGGAUAAAACAGAGGCCUCCGGAGCCUCAAAUGAGGGUUCGAUUCCUUCUGGGGACA